ACAUGGCAAGCAGGGGCCAGAUUAUAUACACUGCCUUAAAGAUUAUGGUCUUUAUCCUCAGUGCAACAAAAUAAAGUCAUUGAAGAGUUUUAAGUAGAGGACUGACAUGAUGACAUGUUAGGUUCAGCCUUCUGAAGAAUUUGAGAAUCCAUCAUUGCACUGGAAAAUGGAACAAAAAGUCGACUUCAAAGGACCUUGCCCACAAAAGACACCAGAAUGGCAUGAAAAUGCACCUCACAGACAGAGCACCCAGCUGCUGUGCUUUGAAGUCAGCCACACCUCCCAUUCAUUGCUGUUACCAAUGGACUGACUGAAUGCUGUGGCGAUACUGAGGCCGUCUUAGUCCCGGAAGACAGACUGUAAAAAGAAGAUGUUUAC
This 378-nucleotide long non-coding RNA is filed under the name Homo sapiens (human). RNAcentral describes it as "HSALNT0321999". Lineage: Eukaryota; Metazoa; Chordata; Mammalia; Primates; Hominidae. The record is from RNAcentral.